RNAcentral lists this RNase P RNA (420 nucleotides) under Kiritimatiellia bacterium. RNAcentral's name for it is "RNase P RNA component class A". It matches the Rfam family "Bacterial RNase P class A". From Rfam's summary of the family: Ribonuclease P (RNase P) is a ubiquitous endoribonuclease, found in archaea, bacteria and eukarya as well as chloroplasts and mitochondria. Lineage: Bacteria; Pseudomonadati; Kiritimatiellota; Kiritimatiellia. The record is from RNAcentral.
CGGGGCGUAGGCGGGAGGAAAGUCCGGACACCGCAGGGCAGGAUGCCUCGUGAAAACGGGGGACGUCGUGUUUAAGCACGACGGACGGCCAGUGCCACAGAAAACAGACCGCCCGUCUUCGCCCUCCGGGCUACGACGCGGCAGGCCCGUCUUUGAACGGGUCUGCAGGUCUGCUCGAAGGGCGGAGACGGGUAAGGGUGAAAAGGUGGUGUAAGGGACCACCGGGUCGAGCGUAAGCGAGAUCGCACGGUAAACCCCAUCCGGUGCAAGAUCAAAUAGGGAACGAGAGACGGCCCGUCUCGCUUUCCGGACGUUCGCGUCCGGGAUGACAGUUUCGGGUUGAUCGCGUAGAUAAAUGACCGAGUCCCGGGCGCGUAAGCGUCCUGGGAUCAACAGAAUCCGGCUUAUGAACCCCGAUCG